AUUGAACGCUGGCGGCAUGCCUUACACAUGCAAGUCGAACGGCAGCAUGAUCUAGCUUGCUAGAUUGAUGGCGAGUGGCGCACGGGUGAGUAAUACAUCGGAACGUGCCCUGUAGUGGGGGAUAACUAGUCGAAAGAUUAGCUAAUACCGCAUACGACCUGAGGGUGAAAGUGGGGGACCGCAAGGCCUCAUGCUAUAGGAGCGGCCGAUGUCUGAUUAGCUAGUUGGUGAGGUAAAGGCUCACCAAGGCGACGAUCAGUAGCUGGUCUGAGAGGACGAUCGGCCAAAAUGGAACGGGGAACGGGCCGAGCUUCCUCGGGGGGGAAGAGGUGGGGAAUUUUGGCAAAGGGGCGAAAGCCUGACCAGGCAAGGCGGCGUGUGUGAAGAAGGCUUUCGGGUUGUAAAGCACUUUUGCCGGAAAGAAAUGGCUCUGGUUAAUACCUGGGGUCGAUGACGGUACCGGAAGAAUAAGGACCGGCUAACUACGUG
Molecule: ribosomal RNA, 489 nt
Filed under: uncultured bacterium
Lineage: Bacteria
Description: partial 16S ribosomal RNA
Rfam family: Bacterial small subunit ribosomal RNA
Source: RNAcentral